UCCUUUUGCUGGUCGUUCAGACGUUGACUGUGACGCUUGGAGUUCUGGAGGGUUGGGCGGAGAGGGGACUCAGGGAGAGGCGAUUUGCAUUUCGAUCUGCUCGCCGGCGUUCGGACUACGUCGAGCCUCCCCUUGCCCUGCUCAGCUGGUCGCUGCACCUGCGCCCGGCGGCCGCCGGCACAGGUCCGCUCCACCUCCCACGGCGCCGCCGCUCGCGCCAGCGCCGGCCUCCUCUUCUGCAGUGUCUCGAUGGACGCAACGAACCUGGACAGCGCGUCCUCUGCGGGCGAGGAGGCUCGGGAAACGGCGGCACGGCGAGGAUGAGAAGGAGUACGGAGCUGGCGUUGUGGGAGCGCGCAGAGGAGGCCGCGGAAGAUGUUGAAGCCGCUGAGCCUGUCUUCGGCGACACGGAGCAGCAGCCGCUCGUCCAGCUGCAACGAUUGCGGCGCGAUUUGCGACUCGGACAUCGCCCGGUUCUCCUAUGCCGCGGCCAUGGCUUCCCUCCUCGAAGCAGAGAUUUCCCUCAUCACCUGUGAGUUGCCGGUGCGCCAUGUUUUAGGUGGCUUCCUCUUGCUUUUGGGGCUCAUUUCACUGGCGAUGUUUUGGUUGCACGGAUGGGCGUUUGUUCUGUUGGUGUGCUCGUUAUUUGUGAUGCGAUGCUUGCUGUAGUUUCUAGUUCGGUAAGCUUUCUGGGCUCAUUCCCGCUGCGACUAAUUGGUGAUUGACCCUAAUAAGAUUCAGUGGUUUCUGCUGUUGUUUCUGAUGUAGGCAUUCAGACCUAGCUGAACCAUAUCUGAACGCCGUCUAACUGUAGUAGCGAUUCAGAGUAUUCAGUCCAUUCAGCUAAUGUAUUAUGGUUUGAUGAUGUGUUGUGGUUCUGUUCCUGUAUAUGAUUUUGGCUGUGCCCACUGAAAAUAAUUUAACUCUUGUACUUUUGGAACUAAUACAUUAACUGAAUAGUCAUCAUAAUUUCAUUUCAUGUAUCAUGGUUCUAUUCCUGGAUAUGCAAAAUUUCAUUUCAUGGCCAUCUUCUGUUUCUAUGUCUUGGCCAAUAUAAUUGUCAAUUUGUUGUCUAUUGGUAACCAUGAGUGUCAAUUCUGUCGCUUCUAAAUCAGUUUUGCUAUCCGUUUGCUACAUAGGUUCCUUUUUGUAAUAAAGUGACAUGUAUCCAACACAUGUAAGAUUAUUUCUGCAUCUGCAUCUUUCUUUUUGUUACUUUACUCAUUUGUCUGAAGCUGAUGGAGCCGAUGGAUCUGCCCAAGUUCUGGGCAACGUGUGACAACUUUAGGUCUUUUGGCCAUACAAAAGUUUUGGAAAUCUGAAUGUUUGAUGAACUUAAAACAAACUAUCUAUAUUUCUUGUUGCUGAAGGUUAUGAGUUAUAUGGCUACUUUGAACUUAUGAGAUAUUUUUUAUCUUUUUGUUAUUGUUUACAGGAACCGAAACAAUCAGAACCAGAGCUAGGUUCGAAAUGAGAAGGUAUAAACGCAGUUUCUUGGGUUUUUUCACUCAAAUUGCACUACCUUUUUAAGUUAAUUGCAUGAAGUUUUACUAUUGCAAUCUUAGUUUUUUUCACUACUACCUUUUUAAGUUAAUUGCAUGAGGUUUUACUAUCGUAGUUUUUUUAGAAGUGCAAUUGCAGUGUAUUUAUUUUGAAAUUGCAUCCUAGUUAUUUCUGUUUUUGCACCUUUAGCUGUGCAAUUGUAACCUUUCAAAAUUAGUUGCAUAUAGUUUUACUAUUGCAAUCUCAAUUCUUUAUAAAUGCAAUUGCAAUGGUUUUUUUUUGGAGGACAUACAAUGGCUACUCAUAGAUACUAUAUCUUUUUAUGUAAAAAAAUUGCGAUGAACAAAUUGCACUAUUGAAUCUAAUUAUUUGCACUGCUUUAUCGGUGUAAUCCCAAUGCUAUCAAUGUGCAAUUGCAGGUUUCCCUAUGAGGAUGGAAACUUGGUACUUCUAAGUUUUGGAUGUUUGUCAAUAGUUGCCAAUUUGAUUACUACUUUUUUGGAUUUUUGUUACUACUAUUAGAGCCAAAACAUCAUAUGCGAUUAUGGCAAUAGUUGGGAGAGCUGGAUGCUGAUAGUCUGGAGCAUGAGACAUUAAAAGAUCCAUGAUAACUUGUGUCUUAUCACAAGUUUUCACAAAUGUUUUCUUUUCAAAGAUGCAUGCCUGAAAUCUGCUUGUUUCUGGUUCUGAAUUCUUGUUUAAUUCUGUUUUUUUAGAAAUGUUUAGUUCUCCUUGUUUCUGGUGCUUGUGUUGUGGUGUUUUAGUGUCAUGUUUGCUCCUUGAUAUGCAGAAUAGCUAUGUUGUCCUGCAGAUGUUCAAAGGUACAUUAUUGCCUAACCAUUAUAUUGAAAGGUCUCUAGUUUGAACAGCUCUAUUAUGCAGAUGCUGAAACCCUGUGCAUGGUGCAUUGGUGCAUUUAUGAUUCCCAAUACAAGUAAAAAGUGUGUUGCAGUUUUGGGGAAAACAUCUGUGCAAGCCCAUGUCAAUGCUUCUUUUUUCGUUUCUUUUUGUCUAAAUACGCUCGUCUAUUCUUUUGUCCGAAAGAGACACAUGGAGAAAGCUCGCGAGGGGGAAGAGACGCAGGGAAGAAAUGAAGGAUUCCAGGCGCUUCGCGGUAGGGGGCGGCGACUUCCCAUCGGUUCGGCGUGGUGGUUCAUUCGUUGGGGGUGGCAUAGCACUAGUGAAGAGGAAGUGUCGCCCACGCAAGAAGCGCCACUGCGUCACCCGUUUUUAGGUGAUCAAGCAAUUGCAAAAUCAUUUCUGCUGCCAAUACAUAUACACCCGCAUGUAUGCCUCAACAGUUUCACAUUUUUCUGGUUAUCUGUAGUUAAGGGAGUUGAUGUUUUCUCUGAUGUAUAAAUGACACUAGUCUAAAGUGCAAUCCCGGUUUACAAAUGCAAUUGCAGUGGGUUUAAUUGGAAUUGCAUGCCCAGCUAGUAUUUUUUCUUUUUUGCACCUGUAGCUUUUUCUGACGUGCAAUUGCAGUAUUUCGUAGUGCAAUUUUGCAUGUUGUUCCAAA
Molecule: long non-coding RNA, 3022 nt
Organism: Brachypodium distachyon (stiff brome)
Lineage: Eukaryota; Viridiplantae; Streptophyta; Magnoliopsida; Poales; Poaceae
Exons: 2
Source: RefSeq, a predicted model, not a curated record